Molecule: transfer RNA, 76 nt
Filed under: Caudoviricetes sp.
Lineage: Duplodnaviria; Heunggongvirae; Uroviricota; Caudoviricetes
Description: tRNA-Asn
Source: RNAcentral
GGCGGUAGGGCUGUUUUUAUUCUACAUCCGACUGUUAAUCGGACGGUCACUGGUUCAAGCCCAGUCGCAGGAGCCA